CUAAAAACAAUCGACAUAGUUGCUGUUUCGCAGUGACAUUCGUCGGAAAUUGGGUCGUCUUAAAUCUUUUGGUUUUUAAGCGACUUAAAAUUUUCUUUACGAUUCCACGAACGUUUCUAAGAUUUAUUUCUUACACGUUUAAGGUAAUCGAUCUUUAUUAGACGUGACCGUCGCAUCGGAUCGCGUCCAUAAAUAUUUCGUU
This 202-nucleotide unclassified non-coding RNA is filed under the name uncultured Glomeraceae. RNAcentral's name for it is "sequence contains ITS2". Lineage: Eukaryota; Fungi; Glomeromycota; Glomeromycetes; Glomerales; Glomeraceae. The record is from RNAcentral.